GACGAACGCUGGCGGCGUGCUUAACACAUGCAAGUCGAACGGUAAGGCCCUUCGGGGUACACGAGUGGCGAACGGGUGAGUAACACGUGGGGGAUCUGCCCUGCACUUCGGGAUAAGCCUGGGACACUGGGUCUAAUACCGGAUAGGACCCUGGGAUGCAUGUCCUGGGGGGGAAAGCUUUUGCGGUGUGGGAUGGGCCCGCGGCCUAUCAGCUUGUUGGUGGGGGGGUGGCCUGCCAAGGCGACGACGGGUAGCCGGCCUGAGAGGGUGACCGGCCACACUGGGACUGAGAUACGGCCCAGACUCCUACGGGAGGCAGCAGUGGGGAAUAUUGCACAAUGGGCGCAAGCCUGAUGCAGCGACGCCGCGUGAGGGAUGACGGCCUUCGGGUUGUAAACCUCUUUCAGCACCGACGAAGCGAAAGUGACGGUAGGUGCAGAAGAAGGACCGGCCAACUACGUGCCAGCCGCCGCCGUAA
RNAcentral lists this ribosomal RNA (478 nucleotides) under uncultured bacterium. RNAcentral's name for it is "partial 16S ribosomal RNA". It matches the Rfam family "Bacterial small subunit ribosomal RNA", at positions 28 to 523 of the family's 1533-position model. The record is from RNAcentral.